AUUAGACCACAUAACGAAUCUCACCUACCUACACCUUAGCACUAUCCUAAAUAGCAACCAAUUUAAAAAUUGUGUAUAUAAUUUAAAAAACCUACCCGAAAAAAUUUCGUUUAAAAAACGAUACAAAAAUCAUAGAAAACCAACAAUAAUUAAAAAAUUUGUCGACUAGCUUCCAAGCUCAAAAAUAACUUUUUUCGUCGGAUAGUUAUUUUUAAACUUUAUUUACAACAAAACUGCAUCAUAAAGUACAAGUAGUGGUAUACAUUAUACUGUUCCGCGUUUAAGUGUAGUGAAUAUAGUUUAAGUUUUUAAUCCAUGGGCAAAAUACACGAAGUUGUUUUAAAUCUCAAGAGAAACACCCCUACAGAACAUUGGGGUUUCAGUUUGGUUGGAGGAUCUGAUGUUAAAACACCACUGAUCGUUACGAAAGUGGGAUUCGGAUCUCCUGUGGAGGGUGUCCUUCACAGAGGUGAUAUUAUUACCAAAGUAGGCAACUAUGAUUCAAGAGAUAUUCGUCAUCAAGAUGCGCAAAAUUUAUUCAGAAAUGCUGGAAAUAAUAUUCAAGUUGUAGUACAGAGGGAAAACGCUCCUCACAGUACCGGAUCAUCAAGGACGAGCUCGCACAAUUACAGCCCACUGUCAGUUUCCCCCCAUCUCUCUCCAAAAGGUUAUACUGUAUCAUCGGGAUACAGUCCAGCUGGAUCAGCCCUAACGCCAUACUACUCCACUCCCCUUACCCCUAUUGACAAUAAUUAUUUUGAAGUUUACGAACACGACCCAAAACGCAGACACGAAGAAGACAAUAAGGAUGUUCACGUUACACAACAGCCGUAUCGUACUACCCCCCUGGUACUUCCCGGUGCUAAAGUGAAACGUGAUCAAGGACCCACUGAAAGUUACCUUCGCCAUCAUCCUAACCCUUCGGUGAGAGCUCCUCCUCUAAAUAUGCUUGGACAUACAAAUUUCAGUUCUCCUCGUAAUCUGUACCGUGAAUCAAAUAUCGAUACUAUGCAGAACCAAACGAGAAAUAAAUCGCAAACACGUAGACAAGUAAAGUUUAAUCCUGCCGAAAGCGAAACAUACAAGGCUCUACAAGAAGAAGAAUAUGAAUGUGAUAAUAUCCAAGAAGUGACUGUUCCACCACAAAGUAAAGUGUAUGCUCCAAACAAAACUAUUCCCAGCAAGGUAAACAAGAACUAAAUUGCUUUAGCUUACCCUGGCCAGCUUUGCAAAUAUUAAAUAGUUUGGCUUUUUGCAGACCUAUAUAAUGAAAAAUGGCCUAUGUGGUAAACCAAAAUCCUCAAUCUCAAUAUGGCAACGCACUCGGUACUGACCCAGAAGUGAUUCAACAAAGCGGAUCUUUCAAAAGAUUGAUGUGGAGUGUCCUUCCUGGCUCCCAAUUUUAAAUGAACAAACUUACAAUUAUUUUAGUAAUAAACAGUUUUUCGGUGAAAUACUACGUCGAGAAUAUUUAAUACGAAUAUGGAACAGUGUCACAAAUGUUCAUUUAAUAUCAGUCAAAUUAAUCAAUUUUUAAAUUAGCGAGCACGUAAAGCCAUCUUUGUUAGGUAGCUACUAGCUAUUUAGAAAUCGUUUCUUUUGUAGAUUAAUUUUAUAAAAGGGUUUUUGUCAAAGCGAUACCUAUAUGAUCAAUUUUACCAUUUAAGUUGACUUGCAUAGUUUAAGCUAGCGUAUUAAUUCCUAUUUGAAUAUUUCAUUAAAAUUGUUUAAAAAAAGUAUAAACAGAAUUAUAAUUAAACACUAAGUUUAUUAGCUAGGUUUAUUAGUAAACUACAUCUGUCAUAACAGUUAACAUUUCAUUGGAUUUUAAUUGGAUUAGAGUUGCAGUAACAGUUUGUUGCGUAUGAUUUUGGGUUUACGUCAUAAAAGUAUUUCUAUCCAUCAAAUGUCUCCAUCGGUUAAGGAGAACACGAUGAAAAACCUAUGUGGUAUCUAGAUACUAUUUCACCAUGCCCCCAUCACUCCCUCAUCUGCUCUCUAUCGUAAGUGCUCUUCUGCAACAUUGUGCUCCAUUUUAACAUACAACAUUCUCAAUGCGUUCUUCCACUACCUUUCGAAUCUCUUUUUUUAUCGCCGUAGCAAUCAAAACAUUCACAAAGUUCCAAUCUUUCUCGCUAAACAGCGUCAGUUCAACUAGCACAUGCACUCAGCGAUCCUCUUACCCAAGGCCUUAUACUGCCGUCUUUCUUUCAUGAAUCUCAUGUAUAGGAAAACUAAGUACGUUCCAUAGUAUCACCAUAUUAUGCCCUUUAGCAAUUUUCAAACGUGCCACGUUCCUUCAUGCCAAAGCGAAUCAGGUGAUAAAAAGAAAAUCUCCCGUGAAUACCUGAGUUGAUAGUAGUUAUCUCCUUGCAUUCACAGUCGACUCACAUUAGAUUAGUAACAUGUUAGUCUAGCCUGUCGUUUGUACACAAUAUAAUAAAAUGUGAUUGAUCAUAUAUUAACAAAAAGGCCUUUUGGAAUAAAGACACUUACUUUUUUAAUAUCAAUUUAUUUGUUAUAGUAAAUAAACCUUGAUUUAUUGUUGCCUUGUUUAUGUAUUAAUUUAUUUUUUAAAUUAUUAUAGCGAGUGUAAUUUAGUCAUGAUUUAAAAUGUCUGUAUAAGUGCGUUAGAAAUAUGCAGAGUAAUAAAAUAUGCAUUUGCGAUUUAAAUGCUUCCUGUAUUAAGUUAAAUGGAAAUUUUAAAAGGAAUGUUUUCUUGUUUAUAAUAUAUAGCCAAAAUCUACUUAAAAUAUAUUUAUUUUUCUCA
This 2770-nucleotide unclassified non-coding RNA is filed under the name Diabrotica virgifera virgifera (western corn rootworm). Its description in RNAcentral is "pDZ and LIM domain protein 3". The record is from RNAcentral. Lineage: Eukaryota; Metazoa; Arthropoda; Insecta; Coleoptera; Chrysomelidae.